Molecule: ribosomal RNA, 253 nt
Filed under: uncultured bacterium
Lineage: Bacteria
Description: partial 16S ribosomal RNA
Rfam family: Bacterial small subunit ribosomal RNA
Source: RNAcentral
UACAGAGGUGGCAAGCGUUGUUCGGAAUCACUGGGCUUAAAGGGCGCGUAGGCGGGCUGCCGCGUCCGGGGUGAAAUCCCACGGCUCAACCGUGGAACGGCCCCGGGUACGGGCGGCCUCGAGGGGGGUAGGGGCGUGCGGAACUGUGGGUGGAGCGGUGAAAUGCGUUGAUAUCCACAGGAACUCCGGUGGCGAAGGCGGCACGCUGGACCCCUUCUGACGCUGAGGCGCGAAAGCCAGGGGAGCGAACGGG